Molecule: long non-coding RNA, 1280 nt
Organism: Podarcis muralis (Common wall lizard)
Lineage: Eukaryota; Metazoa; Chordata; Lepidosauria; Squamata; Lacertidae
Source: RefSeq, a predicted model, not a curated record
GCCAGAAGGCCCUCGGUGCUGGACCUCAGUAUCUGGGUAGAACGAUGGGGGUGGAGACGCUCCUUCAAGCUUUUUAAUCAGCCUUUUAAUACAUCUUUUGACCUAAAUAUGUAAGAUAAUCAUGCCAUAGAUAGUAUUUUCAUACUCGAAUAGGAAAUAAUGAAGCUAUCAAACCCAGUGUAUUUCACAAUGCAAAAUUAUAUGGGAGCUUCAAACACAAACAUGCACAGGUACUUGUUUCACUUCACUGAUGUCUAAUUUGUAAUUGAAUUUUUGAGAAAAAGAGUCAACUUACGGGAAUGCUUGUGCUCGUCAGGAUCCUCAUCUGGAAAAUCAAGGAAAAAUCAUAGAAGUAUGGCAGUGGAGGUGUCUUACCCCAGUAAUGGACUGGAUGAGAGCCAACAAACUGAUGUUCCAUCCCGAUAAGACUGUCAGUGGGUAGUUCCCUAGGCUGGAUGGGAGUUUGCCUACUCUUGAUGAGGUUACACUCCCUCUGAAGGAGCAGCAGGUCUCUCCACAAAGAUGUGAAGCUGGAGUUGGGUGCCCCUUGUCAAAGCCUUUUCCAAAAUGCCCAGCUGCAGGCUUUUACCAUUCUCAACAAGGAAGGAAAUGGAGGACCCUGCUGUGGAAAUGGCUUAACUUGUCAGACUGAACCUGCUCCUGGAGAUCCCAGCCAUUGACCAUCAAGCUUGCUCCUAUCUGGAUGAUCCUGAAUUUUUACCUGCAUAAUUCUCAUCUUUGUCACGAUAGAGUGUUGGGAUGCUGAGAACUGGUUUCUAAGUCAUACAGUUUUUUGAACAAUAUGUAUUAAAUGUCUGUGUAUGCUACUCAUUUUUCUGAAAGCCUUUGUCUGAAUGAGUGGGAAAGGAUGGGUGCAUUAUGUUUUAGAAGGAAGAGAAAGCAAACAAUAUACCAAGAGCUUCUUUUCCUACUAAUGCAUCAUCCAAACUAAGGUGGCCUGGGCAAUAACACAUUUUCAGUUUGUGCAAUGGCCAUUUACUUCAAUUAAGCUUCCACAGAACACUUUCUAGUGACCUGUUCUUACUUUGUUUGAAUUUGGGCCUGAAUAAAAUAUGAAAAUUGUAUUAAAUGCCUACGUAUUUCAGGAACCUGAAGCCAGAUAUCUCUUGUAUUGCAGACGUUUGCUUGACUAUCUCACUCAUAUAUAACCAAAGGGCAGAUGCAUUUACAAUUGUAAUUAGCUGUUCAUAUUAGAAAGUGCUCUGUACCAUAGAGAAAACAAAUCUAGUUUACUUCAAAAAUUACCUGGCUGGAGAAAA